Molecule: ribosomal RNA, 253 nt
Filed under: uncultured bacterium
Lineage: Bacteria
Description: partial 16S ribosomal RNA
Rfam family: Bacterial small subunit ribosomal RNA
Source: RNAcentral
GACGUAGGGCGCGAGCGUUGUCCGGAUUUAUUGGGCGUAAAGAGUUCGUAGGCGGCUUGUUGCGUCGUCCGUGAAAACCUGUGGCUCAACUACAGGCUUGCGGUCGAUACGGGCGGGCUGGAGUUCGGUAGGGGAGACUGGAAUUCCUGGUGUAGCGGUGAAAUGCGCAGAUAUCAGGAGGAACACCGGUGGCGAAGGCGGGUCUCUGGGCCGAUACUGACGCUGAGGAGCGAAAGCGUGGGGAGCGAACAGG